CAGUAGCCGCGGUAAUACGUAGGUGGCGAGCGUUGUCCGGAAUUAUUGGGCGUAAAGCGAGCGCAGGCGGUUAGAUAAGUCUGAAGUUAAAGGCUGUGGCUUAACCAUAGUACGCUUUGGAAACUGUUUAACUUGAGUGCAAGAGGGGAGAGUGGAAUUCCAUGUGUAGCGGUGAAAUGCGUAGAUAUAUGGAGGAACACCGGUGGCGAAAGCGGCUCUCUGGCUUGUAACUGACGCUGAGGCUCGAAAGCGUGGGGCGCAAACAGGAUUAGAUACCCCCGUAGUCCCUGUCUCUUAUACC
This 301-nucleotide ribosomal RNA is filed under the name uncultured bacterium. Its description in RNAcentral is "partial 16S ribosomal RNA". It matches the Rfam family "Bacterial small subunit ribosomal RNA", at positions 509 to 808 of the family's 1533-position model. The record is from RNAcentral.